AUGGACGAACCAGCCGUGUCAAGCAGUGCGCGGCAUCGUGAUGCCCCUCGGGGGCCUAAUCUGGCGAACAGCGGUUUGAAUGCUCAGGAUGUGGUGAACAAUGGCAGAGCACGGCGCGAGGCAGAGUUAGCAGCACAGUUGGCUGCGCAGUAUCAGAAUCAACCCGCUCCGGUUCAGCCAGUGGCAUCAGUUGAACGUGGUUUGGCUUUUAGCUCUUGCGGAAUACCGUGCCUCACCCCAGCUCUGUGUAUUGUGCGGCUGCCCAAGGAUUUCAAAGGUCCGUGCAAGGUACCUAAUUAUACCGCUGAUCAGCCCCUUGAGGCAUGGGUUGAAAGUUAUGAGAUGGCAAUGGAGAUGUUAGAUGUG
Molecule: ribosomal RNA, 366 nt
Filed under: Triticum aestivum (bread wheat)
Lineage: Eukaryota; Viridiplantae; Streptophyta; Magnoliopsida; Poales; Poaceae
Description: partial small subunit ribosomal RNA
Source: RNAcentral